CCUUGUUGAGUAUUUAGAACUUUCAGAUAUUUAUGAGUUUGUAAAAAUUAAACUUUUUAAGUUAGAUGAAUACAUGUUGUUUUUUAAUUUGCACUAACUGUCUCUUUAAUGUACUCCAACUUAAAAUCCCUCAGUUUAGAGAUUUUGCGUCUGACGUCAUCCGUGUUCACGUAAGCUGCUCGCGUUGAGUUCUUCUCCUCAAGAUGACGGAUCGGUCGCUUCAUGGGGUGCUGUAAGUCUCACCUUUAAACUCAAUGUAUCAAUUCUAAAGGCCAUUAUGUUUACUUUUCAUGUACGUAAUUGUGUUUAACAGUUAGAUGUGAUGCAAAUAUGAUAUUUUUAGAUGCGUUGUCACGUUGUUGCUGUCUUUUGUGAGUAAUGCCAUAUUUGGCUAGGGAAUGUAGUGACUGCAGUACUGGAAGAUUCCAGUAGGGGGCGUGGACAGGUGACUAGGGUCAAGCACACGUUCCUGUAGUAUCAUCAUAGAACAAUACACUGAUCGAGGGAAACUCAGCGUGUUUGUUUGUCUCUAAUACCUGUUCCCUUAUUGCAGAUUUCAAAUAAGAUGAUAGACUGGGAGUGCAGGGUGUAAAAAGUUGAAUCGUUCAAGACUCCACCUCCUCAGACACCACAGACUAGAACAUAGACACUGCUCAAAAAUAAGUCCACUUCCAUCUUCUGAAGAUUCUGAAGUGCACAUUGAGAAAGAGCCACUGGAGCAAUAUACGGUUGUGCGUUACAGCUCUAAUGGCCAAAUGCAUAGUGACCCAGUGAAUGUCUCUGUUGUUCUUGAGGACGAAUUGGUCACCACCCACAACCAACUUCCAGAAGCCUUUCUUGUCCUGUUUGGAUUCCUGUAUGCUUUUCACAUACAUAUUCCUAAAGGACUUGCAAAAACAUUUGUAUUUGUGCAAAAAACUUUUGCUUGGCAUGGAAGAUGGGAAACUGUCUCCUAGCCUGCAAACCUUAAAGAAUGAGUUGAUGUGAAGCAUAACUUGUACUACCUCAGCACACACAAAAGACAAAAAGAGUUACUUAAAUGUUAUCUAACUGAUGUUACUGUGAUUUGAAUUUUUUACUUGUAUCUACUUAGUUCUUAUUGACAAGUUAUGGUAUUAACAAACCGGUUCAGUUUAAGAAAUUGUCAUGUUUAAUGCAACUGUGUGGUGUUAAUAUAUGAAGUUGGCUGUUAAGCAUUCCUUGCUCAUUUCUCAUUUUUAUAAAAUGCUGUUAAACAGUUUGAGCCUGUUAAAAGGUAUGUUGUGUUGCUAAGAGAAUUUAAUUUUUGAAUGGAAAAUAUUAAAGAGCACCAAUUAUGCUAAUAAAUUGGCACGUUAGCACGUUAUUGUAAUAUCCCAUAGUACAUACAUGUUAUUAAAACUUGAACUAAUGCACUGUGAGUCUUAUAAAUUGCUUACAUACCUCACCGAUUUCUGCAUGUCUGGAAAACGCUCGGAUUUAGUUCCUGUCUCCGCCUCCCAAAAUGUCUAGUGUAUUCGGAUUGGUCAGAUGACUACUCAACUGUUAUUGGUCAACUGGGUUCGGCGUGUGUUUGAAAGGUUACGCCCCUGACUACGCGUGGGUUUUCCGGUUCUGACUGAGAGUCACAGGCAACGUAAACAAGUGCUAUAUUUCUCUAUAAACGAUGGUGUCUGUACUGCCUUACCACUUCGAGCUCGAUCCAGAGAGUUCAGACGGCCGUUACGAUGUAAACGAUCUCCGUCAAUGAACGCGAUUGGAUUUAACUUUUUUAGGUGUCCUUAGCUCUGCCAGAAUGCUAAACGAAGACGAAAAUGUGUUGCAAAGACAUCCAAAAGGUAAUUAUAACGUACUACAUUACUUUGCAAACUAUAUGGAAACACCAAAUGUAGCACAUAGAAAGUAUUUUUUGAAAUGAUUAUAAAACUAUUUCACUUAUUAACAUUAUUUUACUAUAGUAAACUUUAUUAUAAAAGCCUGCUUACAUACUAUAUUACUGUGCAAACUAUAUGGAAACACCAAAUGUAGCACAUAGAAAGUAUUUGUUGAAAUGAUUAUAAAACUAUUUCAUUUGUUAACAUUAUUUUACUAUAGUAAACUUUAUUAUAAAAGACUGUUACAUACUAUAUCACUGUGCAAACUAUAUGGAAACACCAAAUGUAGCACAAAGAAAGUAUUAAUGGAAAUGAAUGUUCUACAUUAUUUCACUAUGGUAAACUUUUUUAUGAAAGACUGCUUACUUAUAAGUGCUAUGUUUUUACUUAUUAGGUUUUAAGGAGAAUGCAACAUGUUCCAGGGCCUCUUACCUGCGUGAUUCAUCAUCCAGGUUUUGCACAAAUUGUCUAAAUCCCUACACACAGAACAUUUAUUGUACCGACUAUAAGCCUUUGAGGUGCAGGACUAGAAUACGCUUGGAGCUUCCUGAUCAGAUCGGUCACAAUUUUGGCUUUCGACGACCCCUGCACUGAAGAUGGCAUCCAAUCACGUCCUCCUUUGAAGGUCUCUCAAACUGUGAUGCCAGGUCCAUUGGAAUCGGGGUUUCC
Molecule: non-coding RNA, 2522 nt
Organism: Paramisgurnus dabryanus
Lineage: Eukaryota; Metazoa; Chordata; Actinopteri; Cypriniformes; Cobitidae
Source: RefSeq, a predicted model, not a curated record